Molecule: unclassified non-coding RNA, 215 nt
Filed under: Hevea brasiliensis (rubber tree)
Lineage: Eukaryota; Viridiplantae; Streptophyta; Magnoliopsida; Malpighiales; Euphorbiaceae
Source: RNAcentral
AGAAAAUAACUUUCUCCAAGAGACUCGAGAAAGUCGACCAAGCAAAAUACGUUUUCUUGCUAAACCAUGUUUACGCAUAGUACAUGUACAAGCUGUUAGCAGCAGCGCAGGCAAUUGAGUUCUCGGUUGGGUGCCAAGCUAAAUGCAGUAACUUUGUUGUGAAAUCAAAGGAAUUUCCAUUUGCAUCAAUCCCAGGGCUAUCUGCUCCUCGUCUU